GAUGAACGCUGGCAGCGUGCCUAAUACAUGCAAGUCGAGCGAACAGACGAGGAGCUUGCUCCUCUGACGUUAGCGGCGGACGGGUGAGUAACACGUGGAUAACCUACCUAUAAGACUGGGAUAACUUCGGGAAACCGGAGCUAAUACCGGAUAAUAUAUUGAACCGCAUGGUUCAAUAGUGAAAGACGGUUUUGCUGUCACUUAUAGAUGGAUCCGCGCCGCAUUAGCUAGUUGGUAAGGUAACGGCUUACCAAGGCAACCAUGCGUAGCCGACCUGAGAGAGUGGUCGGCCACACUGGAACUGAGACACGGUCCAGACUCCUACGGGAGGCAGCAGUAGGGAAUCUGCCGCAAUGGGCGAAAGCCUGACGGAGCAACGCCGCGUGAGUGAUGAAGGUCUUCGGAUCGUAAAACUCUGUUAUUAGGGAAGAACAAAUGUGUAAGUAACUAUGCACGUCUUGACGGUACCGAAUCAGAAAGCCACGGCUAACUACGUG
This 497-nucleotide ribosomal RNA is filed under the name uncultured bacterium. RNAcentral's name for it is "partial 16S ribosomal RNA". It matches the Rfam family "Bacterial small subunit ribosomal RNA", at positions 28 to 507 of the family's 1533-position model. The record is from RNAcentral.